RNAcentral lists this ribosomal RNA (1487 nucleotides) under Glutamicibacter nicotianae. Its description in RNAcentral is "bacterial SSU rRNA". It matches the Rfam family "Bacterial small subunit ribosomal RNA". Lineage: Bacteria; Bacillati; Actinomycetota; Actinomycetes; Micrococcales; Micrococcaceae. The record is from RNAcentral.
CGCGGGCGGCGGCUACACAUGCAGUCGAACGAUGAAGCCCAGCUUGCUGGGUGGAUUAGUGGCGAACGGGUGAGUAACACGUGAGUAACCUGCCCCCGACUCUGGGAUAAGCCCGGGAAACUGGGUCUAUUACCGGAUAUGACCUCGGACCGCAUGGUGGGAGGUGGAAAGAUUUAUCGGUGGGGGAAGGGCUCGCGGCCUAUCCGCUUGGUGGAGGUGGAAGGGCUCACCCCCGCCAAGACGGGGAUCCGGCCCUGGGCGGAGACCAGGAUCACUGACUGAGAAACUGAGACCAGUCCCCUACUCCUGGCAGAGGGGGGGAGGGUAUGCCCAAUGGGCGAAAGAGCCCUGAUGCAGAUGCGCCGCGUGAGGGAUGACGGCCUUCGUGUUGUAAAUCUCUUUCAGUAGGGAAGAAACAGAAAGUGACGGCACCUGCUAAAGGAACGCACGGGUAACUACGUGCCAGCUACCGCAGUGAAUACCUGUAGGCAGCCAAGCGUUAUCCGGAUUUAUUGGGUGUAAAGAGAUUCGUCAGGCGGUUUGUCGCGUCUGCCUGUGAGAGUUCAGAGGCUCAACCUCGGUAUCUGCGGUGGGUGACGGGCAGACUAGAGCUGUGUAGGGGAGACUGGAAUUCCAUGGUGUAGCGAGUGAAAUGCGCAGAUAUCAUGAUAGGGACACCGAUGGCGAAGGCAGGUCUCUGGGCAUUUACUGACGCUGAGGAGCCUGAAAGCAUGGGGAGCGAACGAGGAUUAGAUACCCUGGUAAGUCCAUGCCGUAAACGUUGGGCACUAGGUGUGGCGGGACAUUCCACGUUUUCCGCAGGCGGAGCUAACGCAUUAACGUGACCCGCCCUGGCGAGUACGGCCAGCAAGGCUAAAACUCAAAGGAAAUUGACGGGGGCCCGCAUCAGAGCGGCGGAGACAUGCGGAUUAAUUCAGAUGCAACGCGACUAGAUACCUUACCAAGGGCUUGACAUGUAGCCAGCACCGCCUCCAAGAUGGGAGUUUCCCUUCGGAGCUUGAGUUCACAUGGUGGUGCAUGGUUGUCCGUCAGUUCAGUGUCGUGCAGAUGUUGGGUUAAGCUCCCGCAACUGAGCUGCAACCCUCGUAUCCAUGUUGCAGCCAUGGUACUGGUGGGCGACUCAUGGGAAGACUGCCGGGGUCGAACUCGGAGGAAGGUGGGGAUGGGGUCAAAUCAUCAUGCCCCUUAUGUUUUGGGCUUCGCGCAUCCUACAAUGCCAGGUACAAUGGGUUGGGAUACUGUGAGGUGGAGGUAAUCCAUAAAACCCGGUCUCAGUUCGGUUUGGGGUCUCCAACUCGACCCCAUGAAGUCGGAGUCGAUAGUAAUCGCAGAUCAGCAACGCUGCGGUGAAUAGGUUCCCGGGCCGGGUACACUCCACCCCUCAAGUCACGCCAGGGGGUAACACCGCGAACAGAAGCACCUAGCCACCCUUGCGUGAGGGAGUCGACGCAACGAUGACUCAGUGU